RNAcentral lists this ribosomal RNA (229 nucleotides) under uncultured bacterium. RNAcentral's name for it is "partial 16S ribosomal RNA". It matches the Rfam family "Bacterial small subunit ribosomal RNA", at positions 568 to 796 of the family's 1533-position model. The record is from RNAcentral.
UACGUAGGCGGAAUACCAAGUAUCUUGUGAAAUCCCUCGGCUCAACCGAGGAAUUGCAGGGUAAACUGGCAUUCUUGAGGCAGGUAGAGGUAACUGGAACUCAUGGUGGAGCGGUGGAAUGCGUAGAUAUCAUGGGGAACGCCAAAGGUGAAGACAAGUUACUGGGCCUGUCCUGACGCUGAGGUACGAAAGCGUGGGUAGCAAACAGGAUUAGAUACCCUGGUAGUCC